CGUGCAGGCGGUGUAUUUAAGCAGGAUGUGAAAGGCUACGGCUCAACCGUAGACAUGCACCCUGAACUGGGUCACUUGAGUAUUGGAGAGGCAGGCAGAAUUCCUGGUGUAGCGGUGAAAUGCGUAGAUAUCAGGAGGAAUACCGGAGGCGAAGGCGGCCUGCUGGACAAAUACUGACGCUGAGGCGCGAAAGCGUGGGAGCAAACA
This 207-nucleotide ribosomal RNA is filed under the name uncultured bacterium. RNAcentral's name for it is "partial 16S ribosomal RNA". It matches the Rfam family "Bacterial small subunit ribosomal RNA", at positions 568 to 774 of the family's 1533-position model. The record is from RNAcentral.